Long non-coding RNA from Raphanus sativus (radish), 560 nucleotides. RefSeq lists it as uncharacterized. The transcript is spliced from 2 exons. The record is from RefSeq and is a predicted model, not a curated record. NCBI's taxonomy places the organism in Eukaryota, Viridiplantae, Streptophyta, Magnoliopsida, Brassicales, Brassicaceae.
UCAUUUCCUAUACCAAAAACGUUAAACCAUCCCUAAUACACAGUCAUUUUAAACUUUUCCUUAGCCAUCCAAAUUAAUUAAAGUCACGUAGCCUUAGAUUACUUUUAAACACGGAGGCUUCAUGUCUUCUUCUCCAAUUUUCUUUUUGUUCGAUGAAAUUUUUUUUUCUCCAUUCUUACAAAUUUUUUUCUCCAUUUUUUCCACUCACUUUGUUUGAUGGAUUCAACAGAAGGCUAGAUCGGAGUUUUGCGGAGUUUAGUUGUUUCUUGCUCCAUCGUUGUUGUUUGUGGUCUCAGAUUUGUGGGUUAUAUGAUGAGUCAAGACGUCCGUAAAUUUUCGUUAGGUGGCUCGGGAGGUUGCGGCUGUGUUGGUUAGGAGACGGCCACAAGUUCGGUUAACUAGGGUUUCUUAACAUGCUUCCGGUUCAGUUAAAUAGGGUUUCUUAGAGCAUCUUUAUCAAUAUAUUUUAAUACAUCUUAGAGUAUUAUAAUAAAAAGAAAUAAUUGAAUAAGUGAUGAAAGAUGUAUAUUUUGGAUUCUACACAAGAAGCAUUUUGGUUA